Molecule: ribosomal RNA, 249 nt
Filed under: uncultured Staphylococcus sp.
Lineage: Bacteria; Bacillati; Bacillota; Bacilli; Caryophanales; Staphylococcaceae
Description: partial 16S ribosomal RNA
Rfam family: Bacterial small subunit ribosomal RNA
Source: RNAcentral
GGGUUAAACCUACCUAUAAGACGUGGGAACAACGUUACGGGAAACCGGAGCUAAUACCGGAUAAGAUAUCGAACCGCAUGGUUCGAUAGUGAAAGAUGGUUUUGCUAUCACUUAUAGAUGGACCCGCGCCGUAUUAGCUAGUUGGUGAGGUAACGGCUCACCAAGGCAACGAUACGUAGCCGACCUGAGAGGGUGAUCGGCCACACUGGAACUGAGACACGGUCCAGACUCCUACGGGAGGCAGCAGCC